Molecule: ribosomal RNA, 909 nt
Filed under: Phytophthora infestans (potato late blight agent)
Lineage: Eukaryota; Oomycota; Peronosporomycetes; Peronosporales; Peronosporaceae
Description: eukaryotic LSU rRNA
Rfam family: 5.8S ribosomal RNA (bases 305-459)
Source: RNAcentral
CGAAUUUCUCUCCCCCCCUCGGAGAUGGGAAAAAAUAAAGCGUAGCAUGUUUUCCGUUGUCUUAGCGUGCGGAAGGAUCAUUACCACACAUAAAAACUUUCCACGUGAACCGAUCAACCCAAUAGUUGGGGGUCUUACUUGGCGGCGGCUGCUGGCUUUAUUGCUGGCGGCUACUGCUGGGCGAGCCCUAUCAAAAGGCGAGCGUUUGGACUUCGGUCUGAGCUAGUAGCUUUUUUAUUUUAAACCCUUUACUUAAUACUGAUUAUACUGUGGGGACGAAAGUCUCUGCUUUUAACUAGAUAGCAACUUUCAGCAGUGGAUGUCUAGGCUCGCACAUCGAUGAAGAACGCUGCGAACUGCGAUACGUAAUGCGAAUUGCAGGAUUCAGUGAGUCAUCGAAAUUUUGAACGCAUAUUGCACUUCCGGGUUAGUCCUGGAAGUAUGCCUGUAUCAGUGUCCGUACAACAAACUUGGCUUUCUUCCUUCCGUGUAGUCGGUGGAGGAGAUGCCAGAUGUGAAGUGUCUUGCGGUUGGUUUUCGGACCGACUGCGAGUCCUUUUAAAUGUACUAAACUGUACUUCUCUUUGCUCCAAAAGUGGUGGCAUUGCUGGUUGUGGACGCUGCUAUUGUAGCGAGUUGGCGACCGGUUUGUCUGCUGCGGCGUUAAUGGAGAAAUGCUCGAUUCGUGGUAUGGUUGGCUUCGGCUGAACAAUGCGCUUAUUGGGUGAUUUUCCUGCUGUGGCGUGAUGGACUGGUGAACCAUGGCUCUUUAGCUUGGCAUUUGAAUCGGCUUUGCUGUUGCGAAGUAGAGUGGCGGCUUCGGCUGCCGAGGGUCGAUCCAUUUGGGAAAUGUUGUGUACUUCGGUAUGCAUCUCAAUUGACCUGAUAUCAGGCAAGAUACAAGCUUCC